RNAcentral lists this long non-coding RNA (3912 nucleotides) under Malus domestica (apple). RNAcentral describes it as "long non-coding RNA (MDOM_LNC005514)". The record is from RNAcentral. Lineage: Eukaryota; Viridiplantae; Streptophyta; Magnoliopsida; Rosales; Rosaceae.
AUUGUUAAUUAAUUUCCAAAUUCUAAUUGCGGUCAUAAAUUAAUGUUUGAAGGCGCUGGGCUACUAAGAAAAAUCUCAUUGAUUCAUUGUCAAAUAUGACGGUGUUUAAUUGUCAAAAAAAGGAAAAUUAUGACAUUUUUUUAAAAAUUUUAAGUUGUUAAAAAAACAUGUAGACGGGUAAAAAAAAGUGUAAAUGGUUAAAAAAUGAGUAAACAGAUAUAUACGGUUAUGGUUAACUGGGUACGCAGUUAUGAGUAUGGAUAAUUGUUUACAAACAAUUAUAGAUAUGUGUAUACCCGUUUAUGCAAUUACCCAACGAGUAAACGGUUAUAUAAGUAAAAUAUUAAAUGCUUAUGAAUAAAUAACCGCAGUUACCCGCCCGUCAUAACCAUUGUCUAUCCCUUACUCACAUCCUAUUGUCACCCAUCGAUGUUGAAUUCAUUGUCUAACAAUGACUCUCACCAUAAUAUUUGCGAGAUAUCUAACGAACAAAUACUAGUGCAAAUUUAGAAAUUCAUCUGACAAACAAAGCUGAUAUAUUGCAUCUCUUUGAAUCCAUUGAACUGCAAUAUAACUUCUAUUGCAACCAUGUUAUUAGAAUAAGCAACUAGUGUUAAUUAGAAAAAUAAAAUUUGUAAUUUCAAAAACUUUAGUUUAAUGUGUAAAAUAAUUUUACGUGUCAAGUGAUGAGGAAAGAAGACAAAACUGGAAAGGAAAAAGAGAGAGAUGGUUAGCAUUAGAUAUGGCAUUCGUGUCGUGUUUUCCGUGUUCGUGUCGUUUUCGUGGCAUAUCCGAUAUCUUAACGGGUCGUGUCGUGUAACACCCGUUAAAAUAAACGGGUAAAAUGACCCGACCCGAAAUCGACCCGAUAAUAUUAACAGGUAAUAUGACCCAACCCGUUACCCGUUAAGGAAAAUAUAUUUUAAACCAAUAAAUAAUCAAAUGAAAAACAUAAUACUAAAUAAGUAUAUACAUUCCAUAUUAUCACAUCCAAAACAUAAAAACGCAAUUUUGUUUUAAGUAUAUUUUCGCUUACCUAAAGUCUUUAAUAGUUUUUUAAUUAAUGUAAUGGAACAAAAGUUUUCGACGGUUAUAAACGAAAAAUCACAAUUUAACGGUUAUUUUAUCUCUGAUUUUGAUGAUUUUUUACAGAUAGACUCCUCGACCUAUAAGAAUGUAAUGAAUAAAUUUGAUCUUUAAUUUAAAGUAUUUACACUAGUGGAUACCACAAAAACUUAUUUUAUACUUAAUACAAGUAUAAUAUUAACUCUAAGUGUUUGUUUAAUCUACCGUUUUGAUGCAAUAUGCAUUCUACAAAACUUUUUUCAACGAUCCAACCGUCAAACAUAUUUGUACACAUUCCAAGAUCGCAUACGUAAAAAAUCAUAACAAACAACCAUUCAGAGAUUACAUAACAGAACAAAAGUUUUCGACGGUUAUAAACUAAAAAUCACAAUUUAACGGUUAAUUUAUCUCCGAUUUUGAUGAUUUUUUACAGAUACACUCCUCAAUCCUAUAAGAAUGUAAUGAAUAAAUUUGAUCUUUAAUUUAAAGUCUUUACACUAGUGGAUACCACAAAAACUUAUUUUAUACUUAAUAGAAGUAUAAUAUUAACUCUCAAUGCUUGUUUAAUCUACUGUUUUGACGCAAUAUGCAUUCUACAAAACUUUUUUCAACAAUCCAACCGUCAAACUUAUUUGUACACAUUCCGAGAUCGCAUUCGUAAAAUAUCAUGAAAAAAAAACAUUCAGAGAUUACGUAACGGAACAAAAGUUUUCGACGGUUAUAAACGAAAAAUCACAAUUUAACGGUUAUUUUAGCUCCGAUUUUGAUGAUUUUUUACAGAUACACUCCUCAACCCUAUAAGAAUGUAAUGAAUAAAUUUGAUCUUUAAUUUAAAGUAUUUACACUAGUGGAUACCACAAAAACUUAAUUUAUACUUAAUAGAAGUAUAAUAAUAUUAACUCUAAGUGUUUGUUUAAUCUACCGUUUUGACGCAAUAUGCAUUCUACGAAACUUUUUUCAACGAUCCAACCGUCAAACUUAUUUGUACACAUUCCGAGAUCGCAUACGUAAAAAAUCAUAAAAAACAAACAUUCAGAGAUUACAUAAUGGAACAAAAGUUUUCGACGAUUAUAAACGAAAAAUCAUAAUUUAACGGUUAUUUUAUCUCCGAUUUUGAUGAUUUUUUACAGAUAGACUCCUCGACCUAUAAGAAUGUAAUGAAUAAAUUUGAUUUUUAAUUUAAAGUAUUUACACUAGUGGAACUUAUUUUAUACUUAAUAAAAGUAUAAUAUUAACUCUAAGUGUUUGUUUAAUCUACUGUUUUGACGCAAUAUGCAUUCUACAAAACUUUUUUCAAUGAUCCAACCGUCAAAAUUAUUUGUACACAUUCCGAGAUCGCAUACGUAAAAAAUCAUAAAAAACAAACAUUCAGAGAUUAUGUAAUGGAACAAAAGUUUUCGACGGUUAUAAACGAAAAAUCACAAUUUAAGGGUUAUUUGAGUUCCGAUUUUGAUGAUUUUUUACAGAUACACUCCUCGACCUUAUAAGAAUGUAAUGAAUAAAUUUGAUCUUUAAUUUAAAGUAUUUACACUAGUGGAUACCACAAAAACUUUUUUUAUACUUAAUAGAAGUAUAAUAUUGACUCUAAGUGUUUGUUUAAUCUACCGUUUUGACGCAAUAUGCAUUCUACAAAACUUUUUUCAACGAUCCAACCGUCAAACUUAUUUGCACAAAUUCUGAGAUCGCAUACGUAAAAAAUCAUAAAAAACAAACAUUCAGAGAUUACGUAACGGAACAAAAGUUUUCGACGGUUAUAAACGAAAAAUCACAAUUUAACGGUUAUUUGAGUUCCGAUUUUGAUGAUUUUUUACAGAUACACUCCUCAACCCUAUAAGAAUGUAAUGAAUAAAUUUGAUCUUUAAUUUAAAGUAUUUACACUAGUGGAUACCACAAAAACGUUUUUUAUACUUAAUUAAAGUAUAAUAUUAACUUUAAGUGUUUGUUUAAUCUACUAUUUUGACACAAUAUGCAUUCUAUGAAACUUUUUUUAACGAUCCAACCAUCAAACUUAUUUGUACACAUUUCGAGAUUGCAUACGUAAAAAAUCAUAACAAAUAAACAUUCAGAGAUUACGUAACGGAACAAAAGUUUUCGACGGUUAUAAACGAAAAAUCACAAUUUAUAACGAAAAAUCACAAUUUAACGGUUAUUUUAACUCCGAUUUUGAUGAUUUUUUUACAGAUACACUCCUCGAUCAUAUAAGAAUGUAAUGAAUACAUUUGAUCUUUAAUUUAAAGUAUUUACACUAGUGGAUACCACAAAAACUUAUUUUAUACUUAAUACAAGUAUAAUAUUAACUCCAAGUGUUUGUUUAAUCUAUUGUUUUGACGCAAUAUGCAUUCUACAAAACUUUUUUCAAUGAUCCAACCGUCAAACUUAUUUGUACACAUUCCAAGAUCGCAUACGUAAAAAAUCGUAAAAAACAAACAUUCAGAGAUUACGUAAUGGAACAAAAGUUUUCGACGAUUAUAAACGAAAAAUCACAAUUUAACGGUUAUUUUAGCUCCGAUUUUGAUGAUUUUUUACAGAUACACUUCUCAACCCUAUAAGAAUGUAAUGAAUAAAUUUGAUCUUUAAUUUAAAGUAUUUACACUAGUGGAUACCACAAAAACUUAUUUUAUACUUAAUAGAAGUAUAAUAUUAACUCUAAGUGUUUGUUUAAUAUACCGUUUUGACGCAAUAUGCAUUCUACGAAACUUUUUUCAACGAUCCAACCGUCAAACUUAUUUGUACACAUUCCGAGAUUGCAAACUUAAAAAACAAACAUUCAGAGAUUACGUAACGGAACAAAAGUUUUCGACAGUUAUAAAUGAAAAAUCACAAUUUAACGGUUAUUUUAGCUUUGAU